This 402-nucleotide ribosomal RNA is filed under the name Triticum aestivum (bread wheat). RNAcentral describes it as "partial small subunit ribosomal RNA". The record is from RNAcentral. Lineage: Eukaryota; Viridiplantae; Streptophyta; Magnoliopsida; Poales; Poaceae.
AUGCCACUUUUUUUUUUGACACCUACUGGCAUGCCACUUGGAACUACCCUCUUUCUCAGAAGGCAGGCUACUUGGGUUUCUACUGCAGUUGUGCGCCAGUUUGAUUUUUUUGUUCAUGUUACACCAUUUACAAAUUGCUGUGCAAUUUCCCAGAAUUACCGUUCUAGCACAAUAUCUUUCUGUAAUGUCCGCACGGUUUGUGCCGUUAAAUUUACAUGUACCCGUGUUCUCUCGCCUGGUAAACAGGUCUGUAGCCGUGUUUCCCAUUCAUCCGAUCCAUUGCUGGACAGUGUUCCCCAGAAUGACAUGGCUAUUAGAUCAAGUGAAUGUUUGAGCUCUGAAUCAUCAGAACUACUAAUGCUGAUCAAUAGGAAAUUGAGUCAGUUGGCCAGUUUAUUGUAG